AACGAACGCUGGCGGCAUGCCUAACACAUGCAAGUCGAACGAGACCUUCGGGUAUAGUGGCGCACGGGUGCGUAACGCGUGGGAACCUGCCCUUAGGUUCGGAAUAACUCCCCGAAAGGGGUGCUAAUACCGGAUAAUGUCUUCGGACCAAAGAUUUAUCGCCUUUGGAUGGGCCCGCGUUGGAUUAGCUAGUUGGUAGGGUAAAAGCCUACCAAGGCGACGAUCCAUAGCUGGUCUGAGAGGAUGAUCAGCCACACUGGGACUGAGACACGGCCCAGACUCCUACGGGAAGCAGCAGUUGGGAAUAUUGGACAAUGGGCGAAAGCCUGAUCCAGCAAUGCCGCGUGAGUGAUGAAGACCUUAGGGUUGUAAAGCUCUUUUACCCGGGAUGAUAAUGACAGUACCGGGAGAAUAAGCUCCGGCUAACUCCGCG
RNAcentral lists this ribosomal RNA (433 nucleotides) under uncultured bacterium. RNAcentral describes it as "partial 16S ribosomal RNA". It matches the Rfam family "Bacterial small subunit ribosomal RNA", at positions 29 to 507 of the family's 1533-position model. The record is from RNAcentral.